Molecule: ribosomal RNA, 122 nt
Filed under: Microcebus murinus (gray mouse lemur)
Lineage: Eukaryota; Metazoa; Chordata; Mammalia; Primates; Cheirogaleidae
Source: RNAcentral
AUCUAUGGCCAUACCACCCUGAACGUGCCUGAUCUCAUCUGAUCUGAGAAGCUAAGCAGGGUCCAGCCUGGUUAGUAGUACUUGGAUGAGAGACCACCUGGGAAUACAGGGUGUUGUAGGCU